AGUGAACGCUGGCGGUAGGCCUAACACAUGCAAGUCGAACGGCAGCACAGUAAGAGCUUGCUCUUACGGGUGGCGAGUGGCGGACGGGUGAGGAAUACAUCGGACUCUACUUUUUCGUGGGGGAUAACGUAGGGAAACUUACGCUAAUACCGCAUACGACCUACGGGUGAAAGCAGGGGAUCUUCGGACCUUGCGCGAUUGAAUGAGCCGAUGUCGGAUUAGCUAGUUGGCGGGGUAAAGGCCCACCAAGGCGACGAUCCGUAGCUGGUCUGAGAGGAUGAUCAGCCACCCUGGAACUGAGACACGGUCCAGACUCCUACGGGAGGCAGCAGUGGGGAAUAUUGGACAAUGGGCGCAAGCCUGAUCCAGCCAUACCGCGUGGGUGAAGAAGGCCUUCGGGUUGUAAAGCCCUUUUGUUGGGAAAGAAAAGCAGCAGGUUAAUACCCCGCUGUUCUGACGGUACCCAAAGAAUAAGCACCGGCUAACUUCGUG
This 492-nucleotide ribosomal RNA is filed under the name uncultured bacterium. RNAcentral's name for it is "partial 16S ribosomal RNA". It matches the Rfam family "Bacterial small subunit ribosomal RNA", at positions 29 to 507 of the family's 1533-position model. The record is from RNAcentral.